Molecule: long non-coding RNA, 2437 nt
Filed under: Mus musculus (house mouse)
Lineage: Eukaryota; Metazoa; Chordata; Mammalia; Rodentia; Muridae
Description: predicted gene, 26651, transcript variant 2 (Gm26651)
Source: RNAcentral
AAAAUACCAGGUUCUGGUAGAGACGGGGGUGGGGAGUGGUGAGGGGGUGUCCUUUUCUUGGAAGAACUGUGGAUUGCUCCUGGUUUUGCUCCCCUGACUUCUGACGAUGCAACAAUACUGAUGGCUUCAAGGGUCUAGGGAAGGAAGGCAACUGAGACACAGACACAGACUUUACAACUCAAAGAGCUGGAGUUAUUGCCUUUACCAUAUGUAAAUGGAGAAAAAUACAGAAAAUCAAGUAAAAUAACUGCACCGAUUUGACCGGAUCGUCUUAAAAAAGGACCUUUCUCCCAAGAAAAGACCAGAAGAGAAUUAAUUCCAUCUGGCUCCGUUCCACGAAGUUUUAAAAGUGUGCCCGUUUGGAGGUGAGUCAGUCUGUGUGUUGGUCUACACUGCAGCUGCUUGAGUUUCCUCUGGGUCCCCCUUUGCAUCCGUCUGGUAGCAUUGCUACCUAACCUGCCUAGCCCAGGGCACCACUCAUGCAGCCAGUUCCCAGGCAGACAGGGCUCUCAGUGGAGAAGGCUCAGGUAGUGUGCAGCCAGCCCGAGCUUUGAUGCAGAACAGGAGAGGCCGCACUUUGGUUUUCAUACUUAGGCUCCUGACUGGAUCUCAAUGAAGCCACAGCCCAAUCCCCCAAACAGGGUUCCCAGUGCACUAUGAAGCUAGCUGCCAGCCCAGCCCAGCCAAGAACCCUGGAGGCUGCAGACACAUGUUGGCUCUCUUUCAGGACUUGUGGUGGUCUUCUUCCCUCCCCAGUCUCGCAGGUUUUAUUUGAAAGACCUGAGCCCCAGCUUUCAACUCCUUCCUCAGCUCUCUGAUAAAAAGCAAACAGAAUCAGCUCUUACAGCUUUGCCUGGAGCUGAGGCUCACACCGCCCACAAAGGCAGGCAGGCCAUCAAAGCACUGGAGCUCAGGUGUGUGGCCUGAGACCAAGGUGCAGGUGGGAAGGAGACUGUGUGUGUCCCAGCAAUGGCUCUGGCAUCCUCCAGGGUCAUUUUCUUCAGCUGCGGCCCCUAUGCCAGGCCUGUGGCCACUGCCCUGGCUGUGCCUGACCUUCUUGCAGACCCGUCUUGAGUGCCAGCAAACCCUGCAGACAGCCUGAUACCUGCAGACAACAUCUUAAUUGCCCUGUAAGACAGUUUGGCUGCUGAGCCCCUUUUGUGGGCAGGCACAGUUUGAACUUCAAAGAGUUUUGUAAAGUUUACCACAGCCCUAGGAGCGACAGGAUAAUUUUGGUGUCGUUGGAGAGGAGGCUUGGCGGGGCUCCUAACUCUGCUCUGGUCUACAAGCCCCAGGGGCACCCUGGUCUGUGGGACUCACCCAAUGAAGCCCUCUUCCCAACCAGGGAAGGCCGCCAACUCCGCUUCAAUGGCGCCUGACUCCAGUUCUACCACAAGGCUGGGCCAGGGCGUGGGUUGGAGACCCAGCUGAGUUCCCUGCUCCCCAGAGACCUUGGAGGAAGCAAGCCACACACCGGUAUGUCUGGAGAGGCGUGUGCUGAUUCUCGGGCUCACCCCAGGAAGAAAAACCUGUGCCUCUUCACCUUCCAAAGCAGUGAGAUGUCAGAAGAUAACUCACUCAUAAACCAGGAGAUGGUAAUCCUGGAGUCAGACUCUGCUGGACUUUGGGUAAGGGUAGCAUGGCACAGGCAUUCUCAGAUCCAGUUUCUCUACCUCAGCAGUGAGGCUGGCAUUUGGUGGUUUACUACCUCUCUUUGGGAGGAGGCAUGCCUGUGACAUGCCUGUCCCCGACUCUCAUGGGACCAGGGAGCAUUGAGCGUCCUCUGCCUGGUGGGCUCCCAGCUCCUGCAAACAGAGGCUUCUGACUGGAGUUUGAGGAAUGCAGGGAGGCCUGGGCGGAGCUACUGCAGACUAGGGGAGCCCUGGGGAGCAGCUGCCACAAACUGGAGCAGGGCUGGACCUUCCUCAACUAUGGCAGGAAUGUCAGCAUGUACUCUUUGGGGUAGGAAGGCUGAAGCAGCCAUUUUUAGCAGCUGUGUGGCCCAGCCCUUCCUUUGCCAAUACGAAGGGCUGGGUGGCUCCAGGCCACAGCUCUGGAAUGUGACAGGUCACACUGUACUUUAUGGUGGUGGCAGGGGACAAAGUAUGAAGAAGCCAGGAGGCAGAGGGAGAGCAUGCAUGCACCCAGGGGACCCGCCCUGCCCUGGUAAGACUCUUAUCAGCACACUCCAGCUGUGCAGAAGCUUGCCCCCCCCCCCCUUCCUGUGGACACAGACCCUCAUGCCUGCCCUGCAGGCCUUUGGCCUUCGAGAACUCUCAGAACCAAUUGAAAGGCACCCAGUGCUGUGGGGCUGGUGUGCAAGGCGAGGCCUUAAAGUAUCCUGAGGACUACUUGCUGUCCCCAUCCAUGGUCACUCUGCUGGCCAGCUGCCAGCCUCCUUAAGGAUCCUUUAGAUUAAAACAGGUUUUAGAGGCAA